Molecule: ribosomal RNA, 405 nt
Filed under: uncultured bacterium
Lineage: Bacteria
Also listed under: 1 other name
Description: bacterial SSU rRNA
Rfam family: Bacterial small subunit ribosomal RNA
Source: RNAcentral
UGGGGAAUAUUGGACAAUGGACCAAAAGUCUGAUCCAGCAAUUCUGUGUGCACGAUGAAGUUUUUCGGAAUGUAAAGUGCUUUCAGUUGGGACGAAGUAAGUGACGGUACCAACAGAAGAAGCGACGGCUAAAUACGUGCCAGCAGCCGCGGUAAUACGUAUGUCGCAAGCGUUAUCCGGAUUUAUUGGGCGUAAAGCGCGUCUAGGCGGUUUGGUAAGUCUGAUGUGAAAAUGCGGGGCUCAACUCCGUAUUGCGUUGGAAACUGCCAAACUAGAGUACUGGAGAGGUGGGCGGAACUACAAGUGUAGAGGUGAAAUUCGUAGAUAUUUGUAGGAAUGCCGAUGGGGAAGCCAGCCCACUGGACAGAUACUGACGCUAAAGCGCGAAAGCGUGGGUAGCAAACA